Molecule: ribosomal RNA, 1595 nt
Filed under: Raphus cucullatus (Dodo)
Lineage: Eukaryota; Metazoa; Chordata; Aves; Columbiformes; Raphidae
Description: 16S ribosomal RNA
Rfam family: Bacterial large subunit ribosomal RNA (bases 85-1514)
Source: RNAcentral
AGCCCAACUCUAGCCCACCCCCCCUCCACUAGAUCUACAUUAAGAAUUUACUCGACCUUUAAACUAAACCAUUCUUCCAACUUAGUAUAGGCGAUAGAAAAGAUUACUAGGCGCGAUAGAGACCUGUACCGUAAGGGAAAGAUGAAAUAACAAUGAACAAGCCAAGCAGUAAACAGCAAAGAUAAACCCUUGUACCUUUUGCAUCAUGAUUUAGCAAGAAUAACCAAGCAAAGCGGACUUAAGCUUGUCGCCCCGAAACCCAAGCGAGCUACUUACAAACAGCUAUCCUUGAGCGAACCCGUCUCUGUUGCAAAAGAGUGGGACGAUUUGUUAGUAGAGGUGAAAAGCCAACCGAGCUGGGUGAUAGCUGGUUACCUGUGAAAUGAAUCUAAGUUCUACCUUGACAACUCCUCCAAGGACUCCCAGCCACCCCAUUGAAGACAAUCAAGAGUAAUUUAAAGGAGGUACAGCUCCUUUAAAAAAGAAUACAACCUCCCCUAGCGGAUAACUCCUAACCCCAUAAAAGUAAUUGUGGGCCUUCAAGCAGCCACCAACAAAGAAUGCGUCACAGCUCCAUCUCCCCAAAAAUCCUAAAACUACAUGACUCCCUUCCCACUAACAGGUCAUCCUAUAAUAAUAGGAGAAUUAAUACUAAAAUGAGUAACUAGGAUAUGCCUCCUCUUAAGCGCAAACUUACAUUCCCCUUAUUAUUAACAGACAACUAAUACCCCCAUUUCAACAAGACUACGUAUUUCAUUUUCUGUUAACCCAACUCAGGAGCGCCUACUAGAAAGAUUAAAAUCUGUAAAAGGAACUAGGCAAACCCUAAGGCCCGACUGUUUACCAAAAACAUAGCCUUCAGCCAGACGAGUAUUGAAGGUGAUGCCUGCCCAGUGACCUCACGUUUAACGGCCGCGGUAUCCUAACCGUGCGAAGGUAGCGCAAUCAAUUGUCCCAUAAAUCGAGACUUGUAUGAAGGGCUAAACGAGGUCUUAACUGUCUCUUACAGGUAAUCAGUGAAAUUGAUCUCCCUGUGCAAAAGCAGGGAUGAAUACAUAAGACGAGAAGACCCUGUGGAACUUUAAAAUCAACAGCCACCCCACAACAAAACAAAACCUACCAGGCCCACCACUAGCAGGACGCUGGCUUGCAUUUUUUCGGUUGGGGCGACCUUGGAGAAAUACGAAUCCUCCAAAAAUAAGACUACCCUCUCUUAACUAAGAGCAACUCCUCAACGUACUAAUAGUAACCAGACCCAAUACAAUUGAUCAAUGGACCAAGCUACCCCAGGGAUAACAGCGCAAUCUCCUCCAAGAGCCCAUAUCGACGAGGAGGUUUACGACCUCGAUGUUGGAUCAGGACAUCCUAAUGGUGCAGCCGCUAYUAAGGGUUCGUUUGUUCAACGAUUAAUAGUCCUACGUGAUCUGAGUUCAGACCGGAGUAAUCCAGGUCGGUUUCUAUCUAUGAUCCACUUCUCCUAGUACGAAAGGACCGGAAAAGUGGGGCCAAUGCCUCAAUGUACGCCCCCUCCCCUAAGUAAUGACUUCAACUAAAUUACCAAGGAGACCCAUACUACCUAAUCCUAGAAAAGGACC